Molecule: unclassified non-coding RNA, 382 nt
Filed under: Hevea brasiliensis (rubber tree)
Lineage: Eukaryota; Viridiplantae; Streptophyta; Magnoliopsida; Malpighiales; Euphorbiaceae
Source: RNAcentral
CUAGCAGCAAGAUACUAUAAUACAGCAUUAGUGUUUGCGUCAGUUGUAUUAGAUCCAUAGAACUCAAUCAAUCUCUGCAAAACAAAGACUUGGGUCCUCAAGAGGAGAAUGUAAUUUGCAGUUUCUUGAAACAACUGGUCAUCUUUUACAAUCUCUCGACUGUGGGGAGGAAUGAGGUUCUUGAGAGCCUCCAGCUUGUCUGAGACCUUGGAGCAAGAGCGUCCACCAUUGGAGGUGCUUCUUUGAGCUUUGCAGGCACGUAGAUGUAGUCUUCUUCUUCUUUGAGAGAUUGGGGUGUUUCUUCUUCUUCUUCUUGGUGUCUUUCUGAGUGAAAUCUUGGAAUUCUUUGAGAUUGAGCUCAUGUUGUAGUUGAGCGUUUGAG